ACAUACGAUUAAAAGGCAACAUUAAACCAACGAUAGAUUCACUGGAAACAGAUGGGAAAAAGAAAUGACAGAACACAUGUUCCACGCUGCUGGGACUCGAUAUCUGAAAGCUGUCUGCAAAAUUCGCGGCAAACAGAAACUAUGAUAAAACGGAAAACACUGGAAUUCCGGCAGAAUUUGAUGUGUUAAUGGUAUCUUCAAUCCAAGACGAGUAAGAGCUAAUCCUCGUGUAUCCGCUGGGAUGACCUUUUUUGCAGCCUCGAUCCGAUCCAAAAGAGAUGAUUCCAAUCUGCUUCCACGUCCCAUCCGGCUGUUGGAAAUUCAUGGGGCCGCCACUGUCACCCUGGAGUAUUAAACCUACUAUGCAAGUUCCACUGCUAUUGGCUCCGCUAGUGCAAAUAAUUGCGUCCAUGAUGUUGCUGCCGUAAGUGAGACGGCAUUUAUCAUUAGAAAUAACUGGAACUGUCAUCUUGUGAAGUACAGGACUCAUGUGACGUGACUAUUGACAUAAUCCGGCUCGCUUGAACUCGCUACUCAAACGGGACUGAUAUAUUUUGUGCAAAUUAUCUUUACCCGAGAAUUUGACAGAGGAUUUCAGUUUAAUUAGAGCAAUGUCUCCAACCUGCAUAGUGGGAUUCCAGUCAGGGUGGACGAAAUUCUCACUGCUCGAGUAUGAUUUCUGGUUGUCUUCUGACACCUUGCGAUCGUGUUUGCCCAGGUCAAUAAAUCCUGAAAAGAGUAAUGUCGUAAAUACCCUGGUACGACGAGACAACGUGCAGCUGUGAGGAUCCAUUGGUCGGAAAUCAAACUUCCUCCGCAGGCGUAAGCAUUGCCUCCUUGCAUCCCUACUUGGAUGAAGGCUUGCCACAGAAGAACUCGUUGGCUAUAACCUGUUCUCCUCCAGCAAUCCUGUUGUUUUCCACGCCGGGCGAUAUCCGCUUGGUUUUAGCUACACCGCAGCCUGAAGACGUCUUACUGAUUCUAGUGCUGCCAUAUACUGCCGGAGCCACAGCCACAAAGAUGGUAACCAGAGUAAGGAGCCUCAUGGGACAAUGCGUUUGCAGUUUAGCAAACAUUCGGUUGAUCCAAGUGCAAUUCGUUCUCUGGCGAUGUUACAGAAAAAUAUAAUUCAUGAGCAUAUUUGUUGUGAAACAAACGAUGAUGCUUUUGUGGCAACGAUCCCGUUGACGAUUACAGCUAAAAUGCCGCUGAUGAUCAUUAAGGAAUCGAUGGCAGCUCUGUCACCUGGAAAAUUUACGAUCGAUAAUUGGUAGUAUAUCAGAGACGAUCAAUAGCUUACAAAUUUUGGUCAAACCGCAAUUAGCUAUCGCUUCCUGAUAGCUACUAAUUCUCCACGAAAAAAGUCCUAUUAACGUGAUACCAAUCAACACGGCGACGACUGCCAUUCCAGUGACGGCAUCACUCGAUUUAAACCUACACGAGCACACCGAAGAUGACUAGGUAAAUUCCUCCCCAGAGGAUAAUCCAUAUUAUGAUAAAUGGAACCCAUUCUAAAUAAAUGAAUAAUGCCGCUAUCUGUGGAUAAAUUAAUUGACUUCCUGAGGAAUAAAAGUACAACAUCAAAUUACCUGCAAACUGAACGCUAGAAGACCCGCAAGCACAUUGAUUAGCGUCACUUAGCCAUGAUGAAACAAAAUCGUCUUAAUUCCGAAUGCCAGUUGAAGCCAUAUGGAAUGCCAACCAAGCGUUCAACGACCAGUGCCACUGAUAAAGGAAAUGCUUAAGUGUCAAAGUGUCUUCUAUUACUAAUCAACUGUAAAAGGCCAGUACGUUUGCACGCAAUCGGAUUUAAGAGGCAUGUCGAAUGAAUCAUCCCCAUUGCGGUGGCGCCACUGUUUUUCCGGUAUGUUGCAAUGUUCUACACGUCAAUAUUUGAUUCAUGUCAUAGUACAAGGUAAACAUUCAUGUUCCAAAUGUUUUAAGCAAAGACGUUAGUCAUAGGAGGAGCUUUUGAAGCUAUAAAUAUGUUGAGAAUGACAACCAGACCUCCGCUGCAAAUCAUCAACGAGUCGAUGGCUACUCGGCCACCUAUUUCAAAAGAGAAGGUCAGUUAAAAUCCCUCCUGCAGUGUAACCAAAGUAUAGAAUCAUUUACUUACAUAAUCCAAUUUCGUUACUAAAUUGAAACCAUUCACAUCUAUCGAUAAACUCGCUGUACGAGCUUACGUUCCAAGCGUGCAACCCAAUUAAUGUGAAUCCAAUCAACAUGGAAUAGACUGCCAGAGCUUUGAUGGUACCAGUAUUCAGCCUACGUGUACAAAAUUUAUGGGAAAUUUGCGCUAUUGCGGUUAUCAACGGUAUCAGUAAAUUAACAGGUUUUCAUUCGUUUUUGCAGCAAGAAGCAAACAGGACGAGAAAGGCUCCACCCCAGAUACCCGUACAAACCAAAUCCGGGAUGAAGGUUGCAUCACUAACUGCUAGUGCUGCAAUCUGUGUGGGUAGUGUGGGUACCAAACGUUUAUAAGCUGAGAUGCAACCAAUAGCAUCAAAUAUGGCAAGAAAAUUAAAAGUUCAGUAAUAAAGAUCAAGCACCGGAUUACGAACAAUGCCAACCAAUUGCAUGUUAAAUAACAAAUGUUUUAUUUCAUUCUAUUUGGUUCAGGUUGACCUAAGCUGCAAUUAAAAUCAAAAUGUAAAAUCAA
This 2662-nucleotide long non-coding RNA is filed under the name Daphnia magna. Its description in RNAcentral is "uncharacterized LOC116927277, transcript variant X2". The record is from RNAcentral. Lineage: Eukaryota; Metazoa; Arthropoda; Branchiopoda; Diplostraca; Daphniidae.